Molecule: non-coding RNA, 86 nt
Filed under: unclassified sequences
Description: c-di-GMP sequence
Rfam family: c-di-GMP-II-GAG riboswitch aptamer
Source: Rfam by way of RNAcentral
GCAUCGGCGGGAGGCAUCGACGCACGGUCGCCCAACCUGGUCGUCUGGACCGUGUCGAGCCAAUGACGAGACCGACUCGCCGUCGC